This 433-nucleotide ribosomal RNA is filed under the name uncultured bacterium. Its description in RNAcentral is "partial 16S ribosomal RNA". It matches the Rfam family "Bacterial small subunit ribosomal RNA", at positions 29 to 507 of the family's 1533-position model. The record is from RNAcentral.
AACGAACGCUGGCGGCAUGCCUAACACAUGCAAGUCGAACGAGACCUUCGGGUCCAGUGGCGCACGGGUGCGUCACGCGUGGGAACCUGCCCUUAGGUUCGGAAUAACUCCCCGAAAGGGAUGCUAAUACCAGACAAUGUCUUCGGACCAAAGAUUUAUCGCCUUUGGAUGGGCCCGCGUUGGAUUAGCUAGUUGGGAGGGUAAAAGCAUAUCAAGGGGACGAUCCAUAGCUGGUCUCAGAGGAAGAUCAGCCACACUGGGACUGGGACACGGCCCGGACUCCUCCGGGAUGCAGCAGUGGGGAAUAGUGCAAAAUCGCGGAAAGCAUGAACCAGCACUGCCGGGUGAGUUAUGAAGGCCUUAGGGUUCUAAAGCUUUUUUACCCGGGAUGAUCAUGACAGUACCGGGAGAAUAAGCCACGGCUAACUACGUG